This 463-nucleotide ribosomal RNA is filed under the name uncultured bacterium. RNAcentral describes it as "partial 16S ribosomal RNA". It matches the Rfam family "Bacterial small subunit ribosomal RNA", at positions 28 to 507 of the family's 1533-position model. The record is from RNAcentral.
GAUGAACGCUGACAGAAUGCUUAACACAUGCAAGUCUUUGGCUAAGCUGUGCUCGCACAGCCUAGCCAAGGCGGACGGGUGAGUAACGCGUCAGGAACUUGCCCUGCAGUCAGGGAUAACAGACGGACACGACUGAUAAGACCUGGUAAAGUCAGGCGGACUCAUGUCCAGCCUGAUGAAAAGAGAUGCUGCAGGAGAGCCUUGCGUCCUAUUAGCUUGUUGGUGGGGUAACGGCCCACCAAGGCGAUGAUAGGUAGCCGGCCUGAGAGGGUGGACGGCCACAAGGGGAAUGAGAUACGGCCCUUACGCCUACGGGAGGCAGCAGUGGGGAAUAUUGGACAAUGGGGGCAACCCUGAUGCAGCAAUUCUGUGUGCACGAUGAAGGUUUUCGGAUUGUAAAGUGCUUUCAGCAGGGAAGAAAAAAAUGACGGUACCUGCAGAAGAAGCGACGGCUAAAUACGUG